GGCUCGGUGGUGUAGUUGGUUAUCACGUCAGUCUAACAUAAGUUAGGCCACUGAAGGUCCCGAGUUCAAACCUCGGCUGAGUCA
Molecule: transfer RNA, 84 nt
Filed under: Bimuria novae-zelandiae CBS 107.79
Lineage: Eukaryota; Fungi; Ascomycota; Dothideomycetes; Pleosporales; Didymosphaeriaceae
Description: tRNA-Val
Source: RNAcentral